Molecule: unclassified non-coding RNA, 1123 nt
Filed under: Hevea brasiliensis (rubber tree)
Lineage: Eukaryota; Viridiplantae; Streptophyta; Magnoliopsida; Malpighiales; Euphorbiaceae
Source: RNAcentral
UUUAAAGCUCAAAGUAAAAAUUUUUAUUUUAUAAAUUCAUCAAGUUAACAACUAUCAUUGUCCGUGCAAUUUCUUAAUUACAAACUCUUCUAGUUUCCAGCUGCCAUUAUAGUAGGGAACAUAUGUUAUCAAAUAUAAUGACCAACCGAUCACCUCUGGUUCUUGAAGGACUGCAGAAAAUAUCACAUGCAAUUAGAGCAGCAAACCAAAACAUUUCCACUAUCAUAAAUAAAACUACUAUGUUGCUUUUCAAGAAUUGGAACAUGUAAGAUGCCAUUGGGAAAAAAAAAAUAGUUUGGAAAAAAAAAACUGUUCUGUUCUUUUGAUAUUCUUGUAACUAAAACAUGUCAAACCUUAAUUUUAAAUCAACUUUUAUUACUCUAAUACUCUAAAUGCUCAUUUGGCAUUGUGGUUUAGGAGCCAAAAAGUGCUUUUAGAAAAAGCACCAUUUUAGAUGAUAGCUCCAAUAGGAUGCUAAACAGACCUUAAUUAAUAUAUUUUUUAAAAAAUGUUUUUUCUCAAUAGUAAUGCCAAACAAACCCCAUAUAACAGCAACUCACCUCCAUGUUCUUGGAGAAAUCUUUCAUCUGCUCAGCAAGUUCUUGCCUUUUUUUCUCAGCAAUGUUUGAAAUAUCCUCCAUCUUCCUAGAUGUUCUCACUGCAAACCUCUGAAAUGCAGGACUGUUAGCUAGACCAUUCACCACAAGCUCAUUAACGACAUAAGAUAUUACUCUGUGCAUGAAAUUUCCACCCGCCAUGGCCCUUUUAUUCGAUUCUUAUCACCUCUAUCAAACAGUUGAAUUACACAGAAACCAAGUAGAUAUAAAUCACUACUAAGAACGACCCUGUACAAAUGAAAAUAGAAUCUUUAUAAUUUACUUGUAAAUUCUUUACACCCUUACAUGAAUCAAACACAGAACCCUACAAAUCGGUUCACAAGAGAGAGAAAGAAAUCUAUAAAGCAACCCUAGUGAUGAUUAAAUUUAGGGUAUCCAUAAAUUACACAGCAAAAUUGAAACGCUAGAAUAUACUUAAUUCAUAAAUCGAAAGAGAUUAGGAAAAUCGCGUGUGGUACUUCUACCUGCGAACAGAUGACACGACUGUCUGUUCCGGAAUCUACCCG